UUGAAGUGGUUGUUUGAACACUCCUUGUCAAUGCCACUAUAAGAAGUUUGUUGCAACAUUUUGUUAUAUUAUAAUUUUAGCUCAAAGUUUGGAUUGUUGAUAGGAGGCCUCAUUACACAUGAUGUGGUUCCAUCAAGAGUAGGCUUGACGUAGUCUCCAAGAGUCUGAGGUGGUGGUAGUUCAGCCAUCCAACAGAUGUUCUUAAAAGCUUCUAGUUAGCCUUUGGAGCUCGAACUAACACUUGGAUUGACAAAGAGUAGACCGAAUUGAUGAGGGAAGGAGUUGGUGAAAUUCUUCGGUUCUAGAUCGGGAUUUGGGUAAAACAUCUCAUACACUGUGAUCAUCCUACACAAUCAAAAAGAAGAAAACCAAAUUAGCAAACAAGGUGAACAAAACAAGUAAGCAAUGGUAGCAAACACUAAAAUGGUAGGGAAUGGCUAAAGCAGUUGUCAUGUAGUCUUUCAAAGGGGGUGAGAAUAACUCCCCAUCAACAGUACUAUCCUAACAAUGCAAGGUCGUUAUUUUUCCUAGGUCCCGCUGACCAUAUUUCUAAUCAACAUUUCGGUUUACGGUUUAGACGAUAAAAAGUUACAAAGGGUGUCUAUUUUGAUUAACUAAUGAUUAACUAACAACUAAUAGAAAUUGAAAUGCAACUAUGUAUGCAAACUAUGGAGAUUAGCAAAGAUCAAACAAUGGAGAAAUGAUGCUACUAGAUUCUAGAUUAGUCAACGUUCAAAUUCCUUGCACAAGUUGGAUUGUAUUCCAUUUGGAUCCAUAAAAGCCACUGGACAUUCCAUGCAUUUCUCAUAUGUCUAAGUCUAGUGCGGUCAAACAUAACUCACUACCAAUUGCACUUGUAAUUCGAUGCAGUCAUAUGCAAAGCAAUGACUAAUAAUGCAUACAAGAUGUUUAAUCAAAUGCUACAAUGAUGAAACGAGCAAAAAGGCAUCAUAAACAUCAAUGAAGGACACCAACAUGGUCACAUUAACAUCCCAACACUCGACAUUAACCUAACUUGGUCGAUUAGGCAAGAAUUGACAUGCACACCAAGUGUUUGAUAAAAUGUCUCAAGGUAAAUUUCACAAAAGAUGGAUAAAUUGAAUAUGAAAUGUAAUCCUAUACUAGUAAUACACAUUCUAUGGUCAAUUAAGCAUGGUCAUGCAUCAAGAUCCCAACAUUCAUCAGAAUCAAAUAAUAACAAAUUUUUGAAUUAAGAGUCUGUUUUGCACGCUGUCAAAUAACUUGGAAUUAGAAAGUUUCAACGAAAAAAACAGAUUAUGCGUUUUCCGAUUAAAAACGCAUACCAACACUCGUAAACAUUGAAAUCAUGUGGGUCUUCAAAACAACUAGAUAAUGGCUUAUGUUUUCCCAUAUGAAGAGGGCUGAAAAAUCCAAAACCAUCAGAAUUGUUUUUCUUUAUUCCCAACUUUAACCUUCGAUCUCUCCCCUAUUUUAUCCCUGACUAUUUUUCCUUCUUCCCAACUACUUUUCAUCUUCCUCUUCUCUAUACCCAAGCCACUACCAGUAAUAGAAAGGGCAAAGCAAAGAACGACACCAAACACAAAGGCUACCAGCGGCGGAAGACGGCCAAGAAUGGAGUUUGCAUUCACAUACAAGCCAAACAUAUAGCAUAGUAAAAUGGUGAUAUGUACUCAUCUCAAACCAUACUUGAGAUGGAAAGAAACAAUCUAUACCUUCGUGACUGCAACGGGUCAGAUCCGACAUUAUGACUGCAACGAGAGACAAUGUUGAUGAGAAGAAAUUUGGACUAUGAUGGCUAAAGUUGUG
Molecule: long non-coding RNA, 1788 nt
Filed under: Linum usitatissimum (flax)
Lineage: Eukaryota; Viridiplantae; Streptophyta; Magnoliopsida; Malpighiales; Linaceae
Description: long non-coding RNA (LUSI_LNC003543)
Source: RNAcentral